AUUGAACGCUGGCGGCAGGCCUAACACAUGCAAGUCGAGCGGAUGAAGGGAGCUUGCUCCUGGAUUCAGCGGCGGACGGGUGAGUAAUGCCUAGGAAUCUGCCUGGUAGUGGGGGAUAACGUCCGGAAACGGGCGCUAAUACCGCAUACGUCCUGAGGGAGAAAGUGGGGGAUCUUCGGACCUCACGCUAUCAGAUGAGCCUAGGUCGGAUUAGCUAGUUGGUGGGGUAAAGGCCUACCAAGGCGACGAUCCGUAACUGGUCUGAGAGGAUGAUCAGUCACACUGGAACUGAGACACGGUCCAGACUCCUACGGGAGGCAGCAGUGGGGAAUAUUGGGCAAUGGGCGAAAGCCUGAUCCAGCCAUGCCGCGUGUGUGAAGAAGGUCUUCGGAUUGUAAAGCACUUUAAGUUGGGAGGAAGGGCAGUAAGUUAAUACCUUGCUGUUUUGACGUUACCAACAGAAUAAGCACCGGCUAACUACGUG
RNAcentral lists this ribosomal RNA (484 nucleotides) under uncultured bacterium. Its description in RNAcentral is "partial 16S ribosomal RNA". It matches the Rfam family "Bacterial small subunit ribosomal RNA", at positions 30 to 507 of the family's 1533-position model. The record is from RNAcentral.